AACGAACGCUGGCGGCAUGCCUAACACAUGCAAGUCGAACGAGACCUUCGGGUCUAGUGGCGCACGGGUGCGUAACGCGUGGGAAUCUGCCCUGGGGUACGGAAUAACAGUGAGAAAUUACUGCUAAUACCGUAUGAUGACGUAAGUCCAAAGAUUUAUCGCCCUGGGAUGAGCCCGCGUAGGAUUAGCUUGUUGGUGAGGUAAAAGCUCACCAAGGGCGACGAUCCUUAGCUGGUCUGAGAGGAUGAUCAGCCACACUGGGACUGAGACACGGCCCAGACUCCUACGGGAGGCAGCAGCGGGGGAAUAUUGGACAAUGGGCGAAAGCCUGAUCCAGCAAUGCCGCGUGAGUGAUGAAGGCCUUAGGGUUGUAAAGCUCUUUUACCCGGGAAGAUAAUGACUGUACCGGGAGAAUAAGCCCCGGCUAACUCCGUGCCAGCAGCCGCGGUAAU
This 452-nucleotide ribosomal RNA is filed under the name uncultured bacterium. RNAcentral's name for it is "bacterial SSU rRNA". It matches the Rfam family "Bacterial small subunit ribosomal RNA", at positions 29 to 524 of the family's 1533-position model. The record is from RNAcentral.